GCCCGAUUUUGAGUCAACGCCGAUAUCUUGAGUUUCCGGCCACCUUUCUUUGUGAUUCUUGGCUUGAUGAACUCGCCUUGAGAUUCUGAACCAGUCUCCAGAAGGAAUCGAAGCGAGUGGUGGACGUUUUCACGCUGAUCGGAGCUCUCGCCGGAUUCUGGAAAAAUUCCGGCCACCGUGACUGAGUUUGGUGAUCGAUGGAUUUAUUUGGCGGACGAUUCGUGAGAUUGUUAAUUGAGCUGUUAAGAAGACGCAGCUGGAUCAGAGCGGAUAAUCCUACAGGACUGGAGAAUUCAGGAAGGUGAUCGAACCGUGUAGAGUAGCUGCUUUGUAAUACUCUGAUUUUCAGUUGUGAGGUUUGUUAUGCUCAUUAGAGCUUUACAAUUUACUUUGUACGAGUGAGUUGUAAUAAUUAACUCGAGGUCUUCGAGUUUUGAAUUUGAGCGUGAGUGGCGAGGUUGUUUCUGAGAAAAAAAAAUUCAGAACGUUUAUUUGUUUAAGUUGUUUAAUUCA
Rosa rugosa (rugosa rose) is the source of this 513-nucleotide long non-coding RNA. RefSeq lists it as uncharacterized. The record is from RefSeq and is a predicted model, not a curated record. Lineage: Eukaryota; Viridiplantae; Streptophyta; Magnoliopsida; Rosales; Rosaceae. The transcript has 3 exons.